GGCCCAGUGGCAUAUGGUAUGCGUCUGCCAUUGAUGAUGCGAAUAUUUUCAGAAGUAUAAGCAGAUAACCCGGUUCGACUCCGGGCUGGGCCA
Molecule: non-coding RNA, 93 nt
Organism: Mycena leptocephala
Lineage: Eukaryota; Fungi; Basidiomycota; Agaricomycetes; Agaricales; Mycenaceae
Source: the annotation of a GenBank genome assembly